Molecule: long non-coding RNA, 1360 nt
Organism: Lytechinus pictus (painted urchin)
Lineage: Eukaryota; Metazoa; Echinodermata; Echinoidea; Temnopleuroida; Toxopneustidae
Exons: 3
Source: RefSeq, a predicted model, not a curated record
GUAACCGCCAAUUGCAAUAUUUGAAAAAAGAACCCGAUCAACCACUGUUUUGCUGUUCAGAAGUCCGUCUAUAAUUCAUCAUAAACUAAAGGAACACAGGUCAGAUUCGGACAACGACUUCAAAUUCAUUCGCAGAAUACGCUAAACAAUUGGACGACGGAUACACUGGAUGAUAAUGUAGAUGGUCCAGGAUUAUCUGGGAAGGAAACUACAGGUGUUGAACACAGAAAACCGUUUACAAGAAAACAACUGGAGUUUGUGAAAGCUGCAAGAAAUUAAUCUUGCCGGGUACGCAUUCACUUCACCUUGGUCGAGUGCAGCACAGUGGAUAAAUGUGUUGCUGAAGGAAAACACCAUUGCUAGGAUUCAAACCCACGACACUCUGUUGAAAGGUGAGAGUCAGAACCACUAGACCACGACGCAUACACAGUUAACAAGCUGAUGUCAUACUCCCACUUGUUCUUUUGUAUCUUAUAACAAGAAGUCAUGUUUAUUCACAUUUUGACCUCCAAGAACUAAAAAGUGGAGUGAAGAUUUAUUUAAUGUAAACACAUGCAUUGCUUGAAAUUAUUUUAUGCUACGUGGGACAUAUCAUACACACGUGUACGAAAAUAUGAAAUUAUUAUGAUUUCAUUUUAUAACAUAAGCCUAACACAUAUUCCUGACGAUCAUGUGCACAUUCCAGUAAUUUUUCCCAAAAUGUUGCUAAACCUUCAAAUCAAAGACUUUGUUAUCAGAUUUUAACGAAAUUGUCAACAUUAUGCUUUUCUGAUUAAUUCUCUUCCUACCUAAAUCUCCCCUUUCCUCAUGCUUUCUUUCUAUGGACCCUUCAUUCUCCUUAUAACUAUGUUAUAUGUAAAAUGUAACCGGUCGUCCAACCCAUUUGAUUGAAGGGCUAGGUACUCUAGACUGAAAGUUAUGUGAUUUAAAUUCAAAGAGUACAUCAGACAAAAAAAACACUGAAAAUUUCAUCAAAAUUGAAUGAGGAUUAACGAAAUUAUGACGAAUUAAAAUUGUUAUUUUUUGGUAAAACUGUUCUCUGCAAGUCCUCAUGAAUAUACAAGAUCCCAAUUUAUAUAUUUUUUUGUAUUAUAUGAAUUCAAAUUUUGUCCAAGCUAGGUUGUAAAAAAUUACGAUUGACUACUGAUAUACUGUGUAAGACAAAAAUUAUAUUAUUUCUCACACAUAGUUGAGUUAUUCAUCUGAUUCAACACAACAAAAAUAGACAAAAAAUAAAUAAGUGGGAAUCUUGUAUAUUUGAACUAUGGGAAAUAGUUAAAAAAUAGAUGUGCUACUAAGAAUUAUUUUCUAUAUGAUUUGCAAAAUAUUAAAAAAAGAUGUCGCUAUUUUCUUGUUUUUU